Salvia hispanica is the source of this 492-nucleotide long non-coding RNA. RefSeq lists it as uncharacterized. NCBI's taxonomy places the organism in Eukaryota, Viridiplantae, Streptophyta, Magnoliopsida, Lamiales, Lamiaceae. The record is from RefSeq and is a predicted model, not a curated record.
GGCGUCCAAAAUAUAAUUGACUUCAAUAUAUCAUCAUCCAAAACCGACACAAAAAGUGUAGCUGGUGAGAUUCUCAUUUUUGCCGGCUAAGUGUGUGAGGACUUACUUAAAGUUAGAAGAUGUACGAAGCAUAACCACAGAAGCAACUCUGGUAAACAUAAAGGUAUAAUGGAAGUUCGCCCUACUUCCUGACCUCGUAUCAUGUGUUAUAUGCGGAGGCAAACGUUGUAGGAUAGAGAUCGAUCGGGGCGGAAAAUGGGCUCGAGUAGCUAUCGAAUUCGAUCAGGUUGUUGCUUGAAUCUUCUCAUACGUUUUAGAGCUAUUGUGAGAUCACUACUCUCAAAUGGAUGAGGUUGACGAAUAAUGUCAGGACGUAGAAUGGAUGUUGCACCUAGUUAAAAAAAAAUAUUGUAUUCCUAUGUCGUUGUUUUUUAAGUAGUUAUGAUUAGAUAUUUGCUUUUCCUAUAGAUUAUGGAUUUUGAUUAGAUCCGA